Molecule: unclassified non-coding RNA, 1978 nt
Filed under: Daphnia magna
Lineage: Eukaryota; Metazoa; Arthropoda; Branchiopoda; Diplostraca; Daphniidae
Description: venom carboxylesterase-6, transcript variant X6
Source: RNAcentral
CACUUGGUGUCGUUUGUAACGGACGUUUAAUUUUCAGGCGAAUUUUUCAGAAAAAUAGCAAUGAGUUGCCCUCAACUAAAGUACAUCUUUGCCAUCCUGCUACUUCAUUCUGUGUAUUCAAGUCGAGAAGAACCGAUCGUUAAUGUCCCAUCAUUGGGGCGUCUCCGUGGAUCGCGAAUGUCGUCUGCGUCUGGCCGAAUGAUAGACGCUUUCAGAGCCAUCCCCUACGCCCAGCCACCUGUUGGAGACCUCCGUUUCAAAGAUCCCCUUCCAGCAAAGGAUUGGCAAGGCACCACACUUGACGCCAGCCGAGAAGGACCCAAGUGCAUUCAAUUCAAUUCCAUCGUGCAAGAUGGACUCGUUCUUGGACAAGAGGAUUGUCUUUAUCUCAACGUCUACGUACCUCAAGUGAAUGGGACGAAUGAUCCCCUUCCAGUCAUGGUAUGGAUUCAUGGCGGAGCUUUUUACAUGGGAAGUGGAAACGGCGAAACAGACAUGUUUGGACCAAACUAUCUUCUCGAUCGCGAUGUCGUCUUGGUCACUUUGAAUUAUCGUUUGGGACCCCUCGGUUUUCUCAGCACUGAAGACGCUCAAGCUCCGGGAAAUUACGGACUUCUCGAUCAAUCAUUGGCACUGAGGUGGGUGCGGAAUCACAUUGCCCAUUUUGGUGGAAAUGCAGACCUCAUUACCAUAUUCGGCGAGAGCGCAGGUGGUGCUAGUGUAGAUUUUCACGUCUUGUCACCCUAUUCAAAAGGCCUUUUCCAUCGAGCCAUAAUUCAGUCCGGUACAUCGACAUGCCCAUGGGCGUUGAAUCCGAAGAUUGCGGAAUAUACCAGGAUGCUUGCCAAUCAUCUCAACUGCCCGUCGGAUGCUUCCCGUGAGUUACUGGCCUGUCUGAGGACUAGGAAAGCUGAAGAAAUUGCCGGAAUUAGAAAGCACUUAACCAUCGGACUGGGUUUUGGAAUGUUCCCUUUGGCUUUUGUACCUCGGAUUGACGCCGAAAGGAGUUUGCCUUUCGUUCCAGCCUAUCCAGAGGAACUCAUUGCCGAGAGAAAGUUUAAUCAAGUACCUUUGAUUUUGGGUGUCACUAAAAACGAAGGAGCCCUCGUUAGUGCAUCUUUUUUUGUGAAUGAUGACAAACACAUGGACGAGUUCAAAGCCGAUCCUAUCGGCAUAAUCCGCUACAUGAUCCAAAUGGAAAAUCAUCCGAAUGGUCAGCAAAUGGCUCAAUUGGUGCACGAUCAUUUGUUCACUCUUCAAAAGCCCUACGAAGAUCAAAAACAGCAAAUAGAACUGAUCGCUUCAGAUUAUGGACUUUUCAAAUGCACCGAUGAUUCAGUCGCCUUAUUCAGCGAGUUUAAUAGUCAAUCCACUUAUUACUAUUUCUACACGCACCGGGGUCAAUUUUCGUUUCCCCAGAUGGUCGGAGUUCCACCUGAAAUUGAUCUAGGUGUUUGUCACGCCGAUGAACUUUUUCUGUUGUUCAGCUCCGGAUUGUUGCCGAGGUUGAGCGUUCCAGAAGACUUGAAAGUUUCCGCAACGUUGAUCGAUUUAUGGACAUCGUUCGCUAAAAAUGGAGUUCCUGUGAGUAGCCAUGUAGACGAUGAUUGGCUUCCAGUUGAGCAAGGAGCGAUACGUUACUUGGAUAUUAAAGAGAGACCCACCUUUGUCAAUGGUAAAAUGCCUUUCGAACCGAGGCUUGCGUUUUGGAACAACAUCAAAGCUGCUAAUCGCAUCAUCACCAAGGAUGAAUUGUGAAACCUCUUCAUUUAUUCCAACUGUUUGUGUAUUCACGUAGGUCAAACUAGAUUAGAGUCGAAAUUUGUUUUGAAAAGAAUAAUCAUCCCUUUUCGAUUAAAGUUGCACGUCGUUUGAUUUUGAGCGGAAAUGUUGUUAAUGGACUGUAACUAAAUGAGGAAUUCAGGCGUAAAGGGCCUUGCUUAAUCAAGUGAUGAAAUAAAUAUCUUGAGACGCUAAA